AGUAAGGUCAGCUAAGUAAGCUUCUGGGCCCAUACCCCAGCCAUGUUGGUUAAAGUCCUUCCUUUACUA
Molecule: transfer RNA, 69 nt
Filed under: Craterocephalus stramineus (strawman)
Lineage: Eukaryota; Metazoa; Chordata; Actinopteri; Atheriniformes; Atherinidae
Description: tRNA-Met
Rfam family: tRNA
About the family: Transfer RNA (tRNA) molecules are approximately 80 nucleotides in length. Their secondary structure includes four short double-helical elements and three loops (D, anti-codon, and T loops). Further hydrogen bonds mediate the characteristic L-shaped molecular structure. tRNAs have two regions of fundamental functional importance: the anti-codon, which is responsible for specific mRNA codon recognition, and the 3' end, to which the tRNAs corresponding amino acid is attached (by aminoacyl-tRNA synthetases). tRNAs cope with the degeneracy of the genetic code in two manners: having more than one tRNA (with a specific anti-codon) for a particular amino acid; and 'wobble' base-pairing, i.e. permitting non-standard base-pairing at the 3rd anti-codon position.
Source: RNAcentral